CUCGUAGGCGGCCAACUAAGUCAUACGUGAAAUCCCUCGGCUUAACCGGGGAACUGCGUCUGAUACUGGAUGGCUUGAGAUUGGGAGAGGGAUGCGGAAUUCCAGGUGUAGCGGUGAAAUGCGUAGAUAUCUGGAGGAACACCGGUGGCGAAGGCGGCAUCCUGGACCAACACUGACGCUGAGGAGCGAAAGCCAGGGGAGCAAAC
Molecule: ribosomal RNA, 206 nt
Filed under: uncultured bacterium
Lineage: Bacteria
Description: partial 16S ribosomal RNA
Rfam family: Bacterial small subunit ribosomal RNA
Source: RNAcentral